RNAcentral lists this small RNA (553 nucleotides) under Saccharomyces cerevisiae YJM1342. RNAcentral's name for it is "SRG1". It matches the Rfam family "srg1". The record is from RNAcentral. Lineage: Eukaryota; Fungi; Ascomycota; Saccharomycetes; Saccharomycetales; Saccharomycetaceae.
UAAUGCCUUUGCUUGGCCAAGCUAUGUGCAAAUAUCACAAAUUAAAAAUUCGGUUAAGCAGUUAGGCUGGACCUAAUAUUUUAGAAAAACCUAAUUUUUUUUUGUGGACCCAUUUUCGAUAUUUACUCACAAAUGGAAUUCAAGGGGAACAACUUCGGUCUCAGCACUUUAAUUAUUCUUCUCGUUUCCACCUAAUUUCGCAAUUUAUUGUCCUUGACUUCUACCACGAGAAAAAAAUUAAGAAAAUGCAACGCUGCCCGUGCAGGGUUUUCUGAGCGGGAUGAAAAAAAUCAGACAAAUAUCCAAGUUAUGAGUAAUUACUUUGUUGGAAGGAGGGAGCAGAGCAUAAGAAAAUUCUUAAAACUGUUAUGUAUAUAAAGGAAGAACCAUUUCUAGUUAUUUCACUUUUUGAUACUUGUCAACUAUCUUAGUAAAAAUACAGAACUCUAUAAAGAACCACAGAAAAAUCGACAGCAAUGACAAGCAUUGACAUUAACAACUUACAAAAUACCUUUCAACAAGCUAUGAAUAUGAGCGGCUCCCCAGGCGCUGU